CAUUAGAUGACUGAAAGAAAGUACUGGUCUCUUAAACCAUUUUAUAGUAACUAACGCCUACUUCUAAUGG
This 70-nucleotide transfer RNA is filed under the name Paederus fuscipes. RNAcentral describes it as "tRNA-Lys". The record is from RNAcentral. Lineage: Eukaryota; Metazoa; Arthropoda; Insecta; Coleoptera; Staphylinidae.